GAUGAACGCUGGCGGCGUGCUUAACACAUGCAAGUCGAACGAAGCACUUUAUUUGAUUUCCUUCGGGACUGAUUAUUUUGUGACUGAGUGGCGGACGGGUGAGUAACGCGUGGGUAACCUGCCUUGUACAGGGGGAUAACAGUUGGAAACGGCUGCUAAUACCGCAUAAGCGCACAGCAUCGCAUGAUGCAGUGUGAAAAACUCCGGUGGUAUAAGAUGGACCCGCGUUGGAUUAGCUAGUUGGUGAGGUAACGGCCCACCAAGGCGACGAUCCAUAGCCGACCGGAUAGGGUGACCGGCCACAUUGGGACUGAGACACGGCCCAAACUCCUACGGGAGGCAGCAGUGGGGAAUAUUGCACAAUGGGCGAAAGCCUGAUGCAGCGACGCCGCGUGAGCGAAGAAGUAUUUCGGUAUGUAAAGCUCUAUCAGCAGGGAAGAUAAUGACGUUACCUGACUAAGAAGCACCGGCUAAAUACGUG
Molecule: ribosomal RNA, 481 nt
Filed under: uncultured bacterium
Lineage: Bacteria
Description: partial 16S ribosomal RNA
Rfam family: Bacterial small subunit ribosomal RNA
Source: RNAcentral